This 65-nucleotide small RNA is filed under the name Homo sapiens (human). RNAcentral describes it as "nc068 non-coding RNA". The record is from RNAcentral. Lineage: Eukaryota; Metazoa; Chordata; Mammalia; Primates; Hominidae.
UUUGAUCAGUGGACCUUAAUCAUCUUGGUGCAUUAUAGCUUUAUUUGCAAGGAAACAGGUUUUAA